This 774-nucleotide ribosomal RNA is filed under the name uncultured Neocallimastigales. RNAcentral describes it as "partial large subunit ribosomal RNA". It matches the Rfam family "Eukaryotic large subunit ribosomal RNA", at positions 20 to 616 of the family's 3401-position model. The record is from RNAcentral. Lineage: Eukaryota; Fungi; Neocallimastigomycota; Neocallimastigomycetes; Neocallimastigales.
UACUAGAGUAGCACUCGCAUAUCAAUAAGCGGAGGAAAAGAAACUAACAAGGAUUCCCCUAGUAACGGCGAGUGAAGCGGGAAGAGCUCAAAUUUGAAAUCUUAAAGGGUUUCCCUUUACGAAUUGUAGUUUAAAGAAGUGUUUUCUGUUGAGGUUUUGGUAAAAGUUCUUUGGAAUAGGACAUCAUAGAGGGUGAGAAUCCCGUAUUUGACCUUUACUUUCAACUUUGUGAUACACUUUCAAAGAGUCGGAUUGUUUGGGAAUGCAGUCCAAAAUGGGUGGUAAAUUUCAUCUAAAGCUAAAUAUUGGCGAGAGACCGAUAGCGAACAAGUACCGUGAGGGAAAGAUGAAAAGAACUUUGAAAAGAGAGUUAAGCAGUACGUGAAAUUGUCAAAAGGGAAGCGUUUGACACCAGUGUUGUUUUUCUGAAAAUCAAUUAAAGAACUGUUUAUGCUAAGUUGUUUAGACUUUAUCAGCUAUCUGUUUAGUUUUGAGCUUUUCUUUAAUGCACUUUUCAGUUAACAAGUCAACAUCAAUUUCUUUUGCUGUAAAAAAGCUUGAGGAAGGUGGCUUGAGAUUCGUCUUAAGUGUUUAUAGCCUCUUGCCUAUGCAGUCGGAGAGAUUGAGGUCUGCAGCGUAGAUCCUUCGGGGCUAAAUGCAUUUGUGCUAAGUUAUAGCAUUUUAUAGACAACUUGUUGACUAUGAUUUGUCUUGUAGCUUACUCGCUUAUGUUAUUUUACCUACGCUUAGGAUGUUGAGCGCAUGUCUCUCUCU